UUGAACGCUGGCGGCAGGCCUAACACAUGCAAGUCGAGCGGAUGAAGGGAGCUUGCUCCUGGAUUCAGCGGCGGACGGGUGAGUAAUGCCUAGGAAUCUGCCUGGUAGUGGGGGAUAACGUCCGGAAACGGGCGCUAAUACCGCAUACGUCCUGAGGGAGAAAGUGGGGGAUCUUCGGACCUCACGCUAUCAGAUGAGCCUAGGUCGGAUUAGCUAGUUGGUGGGGUAAAGGCCUACCAAGGCGACGAUCCGUAACUGGUCUGAGAGGAUGAUCAGUCACACUGGAACUGAGACACGGUCCAGACUCCUACGGGAGGCAGCAGUGGGGAAUAUUGGACAAUGGGCGAAAGCCUGAUCCAGCCAUGCCGCGUGUGUGAAGAAGGUCUUCGGAUUGUAAAGCACUUUAAGUUGGGAGGAAGGGCAGUAAGUUAAGACCUUGCUGUUUGACGUUACCAACAGAAUAAGCACCGGCUAACUUCGUG
RNAcentral lists this ribosomal RNA (482 nucleotides) under uncultured bacterium. RNAcentral's name for it is "partial 16S ribosomal RNA". It matches the Rfam family "Bacterial small subunit ribosomal RNA", at positions 30 to 507 of the family's 1533-position model. The record is from RNAcentral.